CUCUCUAGUGACCGAUAGUGAACCAGUACCGUGAGGGAAAGGUGAAAAGCACCCCGGAAGGGGAGUGAAAUAGAACCUGAAACCGUGUGCUUACAAGUAGUCAGAGCCCGUUAAUGGGUGAUGGCGUGCCUUUUGUAGAAUGAACCGGCGAGUUACGAUUUGAUGCAAGGUUAAGCAGUAAAUGUGGAGCCGUAGCGAAAGCGAGUCUGAAUAGGGCGUUUAGUAUUUGGUCGUAGACCCGAAACCAGGUGAUCUACCCUUGGUCAGGUUGAAGUUCAGGUAACACUGAAUGGAGGACCGAACCGACUUACGUU
Molecule: ribosomal RNA, 314 nt
Filed under: Staphylococcus aureus
Lineage: Bacteria; Bacillati; Bacillota; Bacilli; Caryophanales; Staphylococcaceae
Description: partial 23S ribosomal RNA
Rfam family: Bacterial large subunit ribosomal RNA
Source: RNAcentral